CAAACUUGUCAUCAAAACUACAUCUCCAAAACAAAACCAACGGCAAUUUGUGGGCUCACACCUCCAUCCAAGUACGUUUUCUAAGAAGCAUGGAAACUUCCAGGAAGUAUCCAAACUCCCCUAAGGUUGAAACACUGUUGAACAUGCACCUCACACAUCUUAGUAUAGUCAUGCAUCAAACUUGUCAUCAAACUACAUCUCCAAAACAAAACCAACAGCAACUUGUGGGCUCACACCUCCAUCCAAGUACUUUUUCCUAAGAAGCAUGGAAACUUCCAGGAAGUAUCCAAACUCCCCUAAGGUUGAAACAUCAUAACUUAAACAUCUGAAGCACCCGAGAAGCAGAAAUCCAAUAAGGUAGUUUGCUGGUGCCAAAUGCUGACACUCAUCAGACACUUCCCAAUAUGUCAGAAGCUUGUUGAAAUAGUUCCUAUUACUUAUUCGUUCUAUUUCUUUAUGCCGGACACAGUGAGGACACUUGAGGGAACGUUUG
Rhododendron vialii is the source of this 493-nucleotide long non-coding RNA. RefSeq lists it as uncharacterized. Lineage: Eukaryota; Viridiplantae; Streptophyta; Magnoliopsida; Ericales; Ericaceae. The transcript has 2 exons. The record is from RefSeq and is a predicted model, not a curated record.